RNAcentral lists this ribosomal RNA (416 nucleotides) under uncultured bacterium. Its description in RNAcentral is "bacterial SSU rRNA". It matches the Rfam family "Bacterial small subunit ribosomal RNA", at positions 107 to 518 of the family's 1533-position model. The record is from RNAcentral.
UGAGUAACGCGUAUCCAACCUGGCCCGUUAUAGGGGGAGUAGCCCGGCGAAAGUCGGAUUAAUGCCCUAUGUCUUCCUUUGCAGGCAUCCAAUGAGGAGAAAGAUUUAUCGCUGCGGGAUGGGGAUGCGUCUGAUUAGCUUGUCGGCGGGGUAACGGCCCACCGAGGCGACGAUCAGUAGGGGUUCUGAGAGGAAGGUCCCCCACACUGGUACUGAGACACGGACCAGACUCCUACGGGAGGCAGCAGUGAGGAAUAUUGGUCAAUGGGCGAGAGCCUGAACCAGCCAAGUAGCGUGCAGGAACCGACUGCCCUAUGGGUUGUAAACUGCUUUUAUGCGGGGAUAAACUUCAGCACGUGUGCUGUUUUGCAGGUACCGCAUGAAUAAGGACCGGCUAAUUCCGUGCCAGCCGCCGC